AACCUUUACACUGCACGACAGUGCGAUAAGGGAAUCCCAAGUGCGUAGGCAUAGAGCCUACGCUUUUGUCCACCGUAGGGAGGUGGACGAAUAAGGGCUGGGCAAGACCGGUGCCAGCCGCCGCGGUAAUACCGGCAGCCCGAGUGAUGGCCGAUCUUAUUGGGCCUAAAGCGUCCGUAGCUGGCCGCGCAAGUCUAUCGGAAAAUCCACCCGCUCAACGGGUGGGCGUCCGGUAGAAACUGCGUGGCUUGGGACCGGAAGGCGCGACGGGUACGUCCGGGGUAGGAGUGAAAUCCCGUAAUCCUGGACGGACCGCCGAUGGCGAAAGCACGUCGCGAAGACGGAUCCGACAGUGAGGGACGAAAGCUAGGGUCUCGAACCGGAUUAGAUACCCGGGUAGUCCUAGCCGUAAACAAUGCCUGCUAGGUGUGGCUCCCACUACGUGUGGGUGCUGUGCCGUAGGGAAGCCGCUAAGCAGGCCGCCUGGGAAGUACGUCCGCAAGGAUGAAACUUAA
RNAcentral lists this ribosomal RNA (515 nucleotides) under uncultured archaeon. RNAcentral's name for it is "bacterial SSU rRNA". It matches the Rfam family "Archaeal small subunit ribosomal RNA", at positions 345 to 859 of the family's 1478-position model. The record is from RNAcentral.